UGGAGCAUGUGGCUUAAUUUGACUCAACGCGGGAAAUCUUACCGGGUCCGGACACACUGAGGAUUGACAGACAUUUAUAUACGUAAUAGUAUAUAUUUAAAGAUGCUAGUUCUUUCAUGAUUAUGUGAUAGGUGGUGCAUGGCCGUUCUUAGUUCGUGGAGUGAUCUGUCUGCUUAAUUGCGUUUCAUAUUAUUAUAUAAUAUACACACAUUACGUGUGUUAUAUUAUUACUUUGAAAGCAACGAACGUGACCGUAGCCUUUUAUUAUAUACGCUACACGUAUAUUAAUUAAAGGGACCGCUGUAUCUUUCUUUAAACCAGAGUAAGGUUACGGCAAUAACAGGUCUGUGAUGCCCUUCGAUGUUCCGGGCUGCACACGUGCUACAAUGAUUAUUUCAUUAAGUAUCUACUGUGCAAUAAUAUAUUAUUAUUAUUCAAAACCUACUCUGAGAAUGAGCGGGUAAUCAAUUAGAAGUAAUGAUUUCCAAAUUUAUACACUCAUGUACCGUAUAUAUUAUCCCAUUACACAUUAUGUGUUAUGCGUGUAUAAUAUUGUACGCUGUACGUAUAUUUAUUAAUUCAUGGUGGGGAUAGACUAUUGUUAAUUGUUGGUCUCGGUCUUAACUAGGAAUGCCUUGUACGGGUCAUUGGUUUAACAGACCACCCGGAAUACGUCCCUGCCCUUUGUACACACCGCCCGUCGCUCUUACCGAUGAACUUCGCUAUGAAUCUAUUGGACUGUACCAUUGUGGUAUGGAAAGAUAUAUGAAUAGUGUGGUUUAAAGGAAAGAGAAGUCGUAACAAGGCA
Molecule: ribosomal RNA, 808 nt
Filed under: Elphidium macellum
Lineage: Eukaryota; Foraminifera; Rotaliida; Elphidiidae
Description: SSU rRNA
Rfam family: Eukaryotic small subunit ribosomal RNA
Source: RNAcentral